AACAAACGCUGGCGGCGUGCCUAAUACAUGCAAGUCGAACGAGGAAAGCUUUCGGGUGAGUACUAGUGGCGCACGGGUGAGGAAUAUAUGGGUAAUCUGCCCUCGAGUUGGGGAUAACCAGUCGAAAGACUGGCUAAUACUGAAUAAGACCACAGGAUCUGCGGAUCUAGGGGUUAAAGGUUUUUCGCUUGAGGAUGAGCCCAUACGGGAUUAGCUAGUUAGCGAGGUAAUGGCUCACCAAGGCUACGAUCCCUAACUGGUCUUAGAGGAUGAUCAGUCACACUGGAACUGAGACACGGUCCAGACUCCUGCGGGAGGCAGCAGUAGGGAAUAUUGCACAAUGGGGGAAACCCUGAUGCAGCGACGCCGCGUGAGUGAUGAAGGCCUUCGGGUCGUAAAGCUCUGUCGUAUGGGACUAACACAAUGAAGGUACCAUGCAAGAAAGGAUCGGCUAACUUCGUGCCAGCAGCCGCGGUAA
Molecule: ribosomal RNA, 478 nt
Filed under: uncultured bacterium
Lineage: Bacteria
Description: partial 16S ribosomal RNA
Rfam family: Bacterial small subunit ribosomal RNA
Source: RNAcentral